This 237-nucleotide unclassified non-coding RNA is filed under the name plant metagenome. RNAcentral's name for it is "partial contains small subunit ribosomal RNA, internal transcribed spacer 1, and 5.8S ribosomal RNA". The record is from RNAcentral.
UCUCCGUUGGUGAACCAGCGGAGGGAUCAUCACCGAGUUUACAACUCCCAAACCCCAUGUGAACCUUACCAAACGUUGCUUCGGCGGGAUGCCCCGGGCGCGGGCCGCAAGGCCUCAGCCCCGGAACCAGGCGCCCGCCGGAGGCCCAAACCAAACUCUUGUUUUUGUAGAAUCUUCUGAGUGGCCUUUUAGGCAAAAAAUGAAUCAAAACUUUCAACAACGGAUCUCUUGGUUCUG